Long non-coding RNA from Harpia harpyja (harpy eagle), 1090 nucleotides. RefSeq lists it as uncharacterized. NCBI's taxonomy places the organism in Eukaryota, Metazoa, Chordata, Aves, Accipitriformes, Accipitridae. The transcript is spliced from 4 exons. The record is from RefSeq and is a predicted model, not a curated record.
AGCACCUCAGCGAAUCUCCAUCCUUCACUGGAGCCAGCACAACUGAGUACAGGCACUUCCCUCCGUUCAGUCCCAGGGUACAUGAGAAGGGGAUGAAGAAAGAGAUGUGCAUCCAUCUGUGAUCCAAACUUUCUGGAUAAAUUCAGUUUUUCCAGUGAAAGACAAAUGAACAAGCUCAUACUGCUCUGAAUAGCAACAAGGCGACUGCUUGCCAGCCUGUAAAAUCUGGUAUUGUCCCUCCUGGAGUCAGAGCUUGACCUUAAGAAAAUUCCUGCCAGUUUCUCCGAGGGAACAUGUCCCUGUGCUGCUGCAGAAGCCUGUUUGCCACAGGGAGACAGGCAGAACAACGGGCGCAGGAGGAAAUCUCUGAAUCACAAAGAUGUCACCCAAGGAGCGGCGUGCCGCCAGUUUCUGCUCAGCGCUAUUUUUUCCCACAACGUACCAUUUUCACUGCACCCUUGUUCUGAAAAAAAGUGCAGAGAGAAGAGUCACCAACCACCCCCUCCACUCUGAGGGACACUGGCAAGCAAACCAAAGGAGGGAUGAGCGGGACCAUGUCAGAAAAGAUGUCAGAAGACUGGCCAAAACCAGCCAAAGCCCCCAAACUGCUCGUGGUUUCACCCUGGUUAAUAUGGGAUGAUGCCUUGCUCCUGCAGCCACAACCAGCUUAGCUGAGGGAGUGCAGAGAUAAGAGCAGGGCUUGAGAACCAGCUCCGAAGAGCCAUAAAAAUCACAAGCACAGAAGAGAGAAAAUCUCCAUUAAAGUCAGAGCAUAAUUAUAACUCACUCGUUGGCUGGGGGCUUUGCAGCCCGAGUCGCUGGAGAUUGCCCUGCCCUCCCCUGGGAGCUCCCUGGAUCUGCCAGAGUUUUGAAGCGAGAGCAAAGGUGCCUGAGCCCCCAACUGCUCGACACAGAAGUGGAGAUAAUUCCCUAGAUGGGGGUGAGGAGACAAGUUUCGGCACAACAAGGGAUUUCUUGGGAGCCUGCCUGGGGGAGGAAGCACAGACCGGGCAGUUGUCAACCCAGCGUCCUUCGGUCUAGCUCCGCUCGCUCAAGAAAAGGGGAUGCUUCUUAAACCCUCUGGAAGGAC